This 352-nucleotide ribosomal RNA is filed under the name uncultured bacterium. RNAcentral describes it as "bacterial SSU rRNA". It matches the Rfam family "Bacterial small subunit ribosomal RNA", at positions 9 to 350 of the family's 1533-position model. The record is from RNAcentral.
GAGUUUGAUCAAUGGCUCAGGAUGAACGCUAGCUACAGGCUUAACACAUGCAAGUCGAGGGGAAACGACAUCGAAAGCUUGCUUUUGAUGGGCGUCGACCGGCGCACGGGUGAGUAACGCGUAUGCAACCUGCCCUUCACAGGGGGAUAACCGGGAGAAAUUCCGACUAAUACCGCAUACGUCCUCCGGGGGCAUCCCCGGGGGAUGAAAGAAUUAUCGGUGAAGGAUGGGCAUGCGUGAUAUUAGGUAGUUGGCGGGGCAACGGCCCACCAAGCCCACGAUAUCUAGGGGUUCUGAGAGGAAGGUCCCCCACAUUGGUACUGAGACACGGACCAAACUCCUACGGGAGGCA